UGAUGUCAGGGUCAAAAGGUCAAAAUCCGAUUGUGCUUGCACAAAGAGGAUUGAGACCUUGGGACCCUGACAUCAUUAUAUUAGAGCAACAAAAAAAGGGUGUGAAAAAGAUUUCUCUUUUUCACAGCCCUUA
This 133-nucleotide unclassified non-coding RNA is filed under the name Lachnospiraceae bacterium KH1T2. Its description in RNAcentral is "Clostridiales-1 RNA". Lineage: Bacteria; Bacillati; Bacillota; Clostridia; Lachnospirales; Lachnospiraceae. The record is from RNAcentral.